RNAcentral lists this ribosomal RNA (252 nucleotides) under uncultured bacterium. RNAcentral's name for it is "partial 16S ribosomal RNA". It matches the Rfam family "Bacterial small subunit ribosomal RNA", at positions 524 to 776 of the family's 1533-position model. The record is from RNAcentral.
UACGUAGGGGGCAAGCGUUAUCCGGAUUUACUGGGUGUAAAGGGAGCGUAGACGGCAUGGCAAGCCAGAUGUGAAAUACCGGGGCUCAACCAUUGUAUGCAUUGGAAACUGGUAGACUUGAGUGCAGGAGAGGAGAGUGGAAUUCCAUGUGUAGCGGUGAAAUGCGUAGAUAUAUGGAGGAACACCGGUGGCGAAAGCGGCUCUCUGGCCUGUAACUGACACUGAGGCUCGAAAGCGUGGGGAGCAAACAGG